RNAcentral lists this ribosomal RNA (253 nucleotides) under uncultured bacterium. Its description in RNAcentral is "partial 16S ribosomal RNA". It matches the Rfam family "Bacterial small subunit ribosomal RNA", at positions 524 to 776 of the family's 1533-position model. The record is from RNAcentral.
UACGAAGGGUGCAAGCGUUACUCGGAAUUACUGGGCGUAAAGGGCGCGUAGGUGGUUCUUUAAGUCUGCUGUGAAAGCCCCGGGCUCAACCUGGGAAUGGCAGUGGAUACUGGAGAGCUAGAGUGCGGUAGAGGGUAGUGGAAUUCCCGGUGUAGCAGUGAAAUGCGUAGAGAUCGGGAGGAACACCAGUGGCGAAGGCGGCUACCUGGACCAGCACUGACACUGAAGCACGAAAGCGUGGGGAGCAAACAGG